UACAGGAGACUGCAAGCGUUUAUUCGGAUUCACUGGGCGUAAAGGGUGCGCAGGCGGCCAAGUGUGUCAGGUGUGAAAUCCCGAGGCUUAACCUCGGAACUGCGCCUGAAACUACUUGGCUAGAGUACUGGAGAGGGUAACGGAAUUCACGGUGUAGCAGUGAAAUGCGUAGAUAUCGUGAGGAACACCAGAGGCGAAGGCGGUUACCUGGACAGUUACUGACGCU
RNAcentral lists this ribosomal RNA (226 nucleotides) under uncultured bacterium. RNAcentral describes it as "partial 16S ribosomal RNA". It matches the Rfam family "Bacterial small subunit ribosomal RNA", at positions 524 to 747 of the family's 1533-position model. The record is from RNAcentral.